CCUACGGGCGGCAGCAGUGGGGAAUAUUGGGCAAUGGGCGCAAGCCUGACCCAGCAACGCCGCGUGAAGGAAGAAGGCUUUCGGGUUGUAAACUUCUUUUGUCAGGGAAGAGUAGAAGACGGUACCUGACGAAUAAGCCACGGCUAACUACGUGCCAGCAGCCGCGGUAAUACGUAGGUGGCAAGCGUUGUCCGGAUUUACUGGGUGUAAAGGGCGUGUAGCCGGGUUGACAAGUCAGAUGUGAAAUCCUGCGGCUUAACCGCAGAACUGCAUUUGAAACUGUUGAUCUUGAGUACUGGAGAGGCAGACGGAAUUCCUAGUGUAGCGGUGAAAUGCGUAGAUAUUAGGAGGAACACCAGUGGCGAAGGCAUCUCACGAAUCCGCGAUUGACGCUGAUGCACGAAAGCGUGGGUAUCAAACAGGAUUAGAUACCCGAGUAGUC
RNAcentral lists this ribosomal RNA (442 nucleotides) under uncultured bacterium. RNAcentral's name for it is "partial 16S ribosomal RNA". It matches the Rfam family "Bacterial small subunit ribosomal RNA", at positions 338 to 795 of the family's 1533-position model. The record is from RNAcentral.